GGGGCAGUAUGGCUCAGGAGGUAGAGCGGGCGGGCUAGAAAUCAGAAAGUUCCUGGUUCGAUUCCCGGCUUCUCUA
This is a non-coding RNA of Gymnothorax javanicus (giant moray), 76 nucleotides long. Lineage: Eukaryota; Metazoa; Chordata; Actinopteri; Anguilliformes; Muraenidae. The record is from the annotation of a GenBank genome assembly.